RNAcentral lists this ribosomal RNA (430 nucleotides) under uncultured bacterium. RNAcentral's name for it is "partial 16S ribosomal RNA". It matches the Rfam family "Bacterial small subunit ribosomal RNA", at positions 29 to 507 of the family's 1533-position model. The record is from RNAcentral.
AACGAACGCUGGCGGCAGGCUAACCCAUGCAAGUUGAGGGCCCCGCCAGGGGAGCGGCCGGCGGGUGAGUUACGCCGGGGAACGUUCCUUUUUGUUUCGAACCACCCCGGGAAACCGGAGCCAAUUCCGGAUAAGCCCCAACGGGGAAAGAUUUAACGCCGAAAGAUCGGCCCGCGUCUGAUUAGCUAGUUGGUGAGGUAACGGCUCACCAAGGCGACGAUCAGUAGCUGGUCUGAGAGGAUGAUCAGCCACACUGGGACUGAGACACGGCCCAGACUCCUACGGGAGGCAGCAGUGGGGAAUAUUGGACAAUGGGCGCAAGCCUGAUCCAGCCAUGCCGCGUGAGUGAUGAAGGCCUUAGGGUUGUAAAGCUCUUUUGUCCGGGAAGAUAAUGACUGUACCGGAAGAAUAAGCCCCGGCUAACUUCGUG